RNAcentral lists this ribosomal RNA (249 nucleotides) under uncultured bacterium. Its description in RNAcentral is "partial 16S ribosomal RNA". It matches the Rfam family "Bacterial small subunit ribosomal RNA", at positions 796 to 1041 of the family's 1533-position model. The record is from RNAcentral.
CCAGCCGUAAACUAUGAACACUAGGUGUGGAGGGUAUCGACCCCCUCCGUGCCGCAGCUAACGCAAUAAGUGUUCCGCCUGGGGAGUACGGCCGCAAGGCUAAAACUCAAAGGAAUUGACGGGGGCCCGCACAAGCGGUGGAGCAUGUGGUUUAAUUCGAUGCAACGCGAAGAACCUUACCAGGGCUUGACAUCCUCCGACGCGCGUAGAAAUACGUGUUCGUCCUUCGGGGAGCGGAGAGACAGGUGG